Long non-coding RNA from Columba livia (rock pigeon), 307 nucleotides. RefSeq lists it as uncharacterized. The record is from RefSeq and is a predicted model, not a curated record. The transcript is spliced from 3 exons. NCBI's taxonomy places the organism in Eukaryota, Metazoa, Chordata, Aves, Columbiformes, Columbidae.
CUGGAGUAGUUUGAGAGGAACUUGCAUGGGACAUCAGAUGGCUUUGCUGGGGUUCUGGACACAAAUGCAAGACAGAGUCAAGCAGUAACACAGUAUCUGAAGAAUGGAGCGAGUUUAGAGAAGGGAAUGGAGCUGGUAUGACUGAGAAGAGCUGUGCGGGAGAGUAAUGAAGAAGCUGGGAAACAAGGAAAUCACUGGUUUGAGGAUUUAAAAACACCCUCAGCACACAGAGCCUGGUUAAACCGGGGAACUCACUGCUGCAGGAUGUUGUGGAGGCCAAAGGUAAUAAAUGAGCUCAAAGGAAUGA